UAGUUGGUGUGGUAACGGCGCACCAAGCCGACGACGGGUAGGGGACCUGAGAGGGUGAUCCCCCACACUGGGACUGAGACACGGCCCAGACUCCUACGGGAGGCAGCAGUGAGGAAUAUUGCCCAAUGGACGAAAGUCUGAGGCAGCGACGCCGCGUGGGUGAAGAAGGCCUUCGGGUCGUAAAGCCCUUUUCUAGGUGACGAGAACGGACGGUAGCCUAGGAAUAAGUCUCGGCUAACUACGUGCCAGCAGCCGCGGUAAAACGUAGGAGGCAAGCGUUAUCCGGAGUUACUGGGCGUAAAGCGUGCGCAGGCGGAUCUGUAAGUGAGUUGUGAAAGCCUCCGGCUAAACUGGGGGAGGACAAAUCAGACUGCGGGUCUAGAGUCAGAUAGAGGGACGUGGAAUUCCGGGUGUAGCGGUGAAAUGUGUAGAGAUCCGGAGGAACACCAGUGGCGCAAGCGGCGUCCUGGGUCUGAACUGACGCUGAGGCACGAAAGCGUGGGGAGCGGACGGGAUUAGAGACCCCGGUAGUCCACGCUGUAAACGAUGUCAACUAGAUGUCCACCGGGCUACGGUCUGGGGGGUGUCGAAGCUAACGCGCUAAGUUGACCGCCUGGGGAGUACGGUCGCAAGGCUAAAACUCAAAGGAAUUGACGGGGGCCCGCACAAGCAGCGGAGCGUGUGGUUUAAUUCGAGGCUACACGAAGAACCUUACCUAGGUUUGACAUGGGCGUAGUAGGGAACCGAAAGGGGACCGACCUUCGGGAGCGUCCACAGGUGCUGCAUGGCUGUCGUCAGCUCGUGUCGCGAGAUGUUCGGUUAAGUCCGAAAACGAGCGCAACCCUCGGGUCUAGUUACAAGUGUCUAGACCGACUGCCCG
This 880-nucleotide ribosomal RNA is filed under the name uncultured bacterium. RNAcentral describes it as "bacterial SSU rRNA". It matches the Rfam family "Bacterial small subunit ribosomal RNA", at positions 246 to 1155 of the family's 1533-position model. The record is from RNAcentral.